GCUAAUACAUGCAAGUCGAGCGAACAGAUGAGAAGCUUGCUUCUCUGAUGUUAGCGGCGGACGGGUGAGUAACACGUGGGUAACCUACCUAUAAGACUGGGAUAACUCCGGGAAACCGGGGCUAAUACCGGAUAAUAUUUUGAACCGCAUGGUUCAAUAGUGAAAGACGGUUUCGGCUGUCACUUAUAGAUGGACCCGCGCCGUAUUAGCUAGUUGGUAAGGUAACGGCUUACCAAGGCGACGAUACGUAGCCGACCUGAGAGGGUGAUCGGCCACACUGGAACUGAGACACGGUCCAGACUCCUACGGGAGGCAGCAGUAGGGAAUCUUCCGCAAUGGGCGAAAGCCUGACGGAGCAACGCCGCGUGAGUGAUGAAGGUCUUCGGAUCGUAAAACUCUGUUGUUAGGGAAGAACAAAUUUGUUAGUAACUGAACAAGUCUUGACGGUACCUAACCAGAAAGCCACGGCUAACUACGUGCCAGCAGCCGCGGUAAUACGUAGGUGGCAAGCGUUAUCCGGAAUUAUUGGGCGUAAAGCGCGCGUAGGCGGUUUCUUAAGUCUGAUGUGAAAGCCCACGGCUCAACCGUGGAGGGUCAUUGGAAACUGGGAAACUUGAGUGCAGAAGAGGAGAGUGGAAUUCCAUGUGUAGCGGUGAAAUGCGCAGAGAUAUGGAGGAACACCAGUGGCGAAGGCGGCUCUCUGGUCUGUAACUGACGCUGAUGUGCGAAAGCGUGGGGAUCAAACAGGAUUAGAUACCCUGGUAGUCCACGCCGUAAACGAUGAGUGCUAAGUGUUAGGGGGUUUCCGCCCCUUAGUGCUGCAGCUAACGCAUUAAGCACUCCGCCUGGGGAGUACGACCGCAAGGUUGAAACUCAAAGGAAUUGACGGGGACCCGCACAAGCGGUGGAGCAUGUGGUUUAAUUCGAAGCAACGCGAAGAACCUUACCAAAUCUUGACAUCCUUUGACCGCUCUAGAGAUAGAGUCUUCCCCUUCGGGGGACAAAGUGACAGGUGGUGCAUGGUUGUCGUCAGCUCGUGUCGUGAGAUGUUGGGUUAAGUCCCGCAACGAGCGCAACCCUUAAGCUUAGUUGCCAUCAUUAAGUUGGGCACUCUAGGUUGACUGCCGGUGACAAACCGGAGGAAGGUGGGGAUGACGUCAAAUCAUCAUGCCCCUUAUGAUUUGGGCUACACACGUGCUACAAUGGAUAAUACAAAGGGCAGCGAAUCCGCGAGGCCAAGCAAAUCCCAUAAAAUUAUUCUCAGUUCGGAUUGUAGUCUGCAACUCGACUACAUGAAGCUGGAAUCGCUAGUAAUCGUAGAUCAGCAUGCUACGGUGAAUACGUUCCCGGGUCUUGUACACACCGCCCGUCACACCACGAGAGUUUGUAACACCCGAAGCCGGUGGAGUAACCUUUUAGGAGCUAGCCGUCGAAGGUGGACAAAGG
This 1446-nucleotide ribosomal RNA is filed under the name Mammaliicoccus sciuri. RNAcentral's name for it is "bacterial SSU rRNA". It matches the Rfam family "Bacterial small subunit ribosomal RNA". The record is from RNAcentral. Lineage: Bacteria; Bacillati; Bacillota; Bacilli; Caryophanales; Staphylococcaceae.